GUAAUAUUUGUUUGGGAGUGGGGAAUGGUGAAGUCUCUGGAAUGUGCUGUUUCUUCCCCUGCCCCUAGUUUUUAAACUGAAUUUUUUCCCCUCUUGCUUUGGAUUCUUCAGUCUGUUUUUUAGCUUGAUGUCUCCUAUUUCUGGAAAACAUAAAGCUAUAGUAGCACACAGUUCACUUUUACAUAACCCAUAUAAUAAUCUGCUGCAUACUUGGUAGUCAGCAAUUCAGUAAUCUCAUUCUUCCAUUACCCCAUUCACUAGGUUCAUCAACAACUAUUGCGUACCUGCUACAUGCUAGGCACUCUUGAGAAUUCAGUGGCGAACAACAUAGAGCUCUCCUGACUCUUACCCUUCUGGUAUCCAGGUGAAAAUACUUUGGUGCUCAGCAAAGUGGACCGGAAAGGAAUACCAUUGGCCUGGCUCCCUUGUUCUAGAGCCCAGGGCAAAGAAAGGAGAAGCCAUACAAUGCAGAGGCAGGGCUCGGGACCACCUCCAACCUGCCAGGCAGAUACGGUUGUGGGCCGGAGUCAAGAGAGGGCAAACCAGAAGGCCCAGCUUUGGGUCUGACUCCAAGACGACUGGCUGGGAGGAAAACUUAACAGGCAAAACAGGCUUCUGAGGCACAGUGGAACAGUGAGACUACAGCAUUGGUGCCCUGGUGACAGUCCCUACCGAAGAAUCACCUCAGCUAUACAUACGGCCAAAGUAAAGAUCACGCCACCCAAAGGGAGAGUGCUGGGCAAACCAGAGGUGGAGAUGGCAAAGCAGGAACAGAAAUGCUGCCACAGUGAACAGAAAGCAGGACAACUUGACUAGGCCAGAGUUCUUUGCCUCAGGGGACCUCUGCUCAAGUUUCAGGAGUUCAUACCUACCCCCUUCACCUAGGAUCCCUGCUACAGUGAGUAACUGCUCUGUGCGAAGCCUGGAGCAAACACUGGUGUGUAGGUGGCUGAGGACAACAGCCACUUUCUUACAGCGGAGUUGGGGAGAAUAGUCUAGCAAAAACAAAAGCACGUUUUAUGUUCCGUGCUUAUGAAGUACAACAGAAGGUUUUCAGAUCGGGUCCUCUCACAGCCACCCUGUGAAGCAGCUGGGGUUAGUGACUUUAAGGAUGACUAACGACCUGCUCAAAGAAUGCCCUGCCUGCGUCCCAGGACACAUAUCCAUGGCUAGAUUAGGGUUCGUUUCUUGCUUUGAUUUUGAGUCGCCUCCACUGUCGAUAUUCCCCUCAUUCAUAUUUUAUCAGCUUGAUUGCAGAGAAGAACAUGGUCCAUCAAAGGGGCUUCUCAUAGAAAGUUCCAUUAAUUGUCAUGACAUCUGAUCGUUUCAUUAGGUUCAGAGAUUAAAGUGGAAGGACAGCAGAGAGAAAUGGAUUGUGAUCUAAAUCUAUAUUAUCAGAGAUACACUGCUCAACUACUGUCUUGCAAGCUCCAUGCUGGAACUCCGCAUUGUAAUUUACACAUUUUGUUCAUUUGGAAUGUGUGAGGUUCUGAGUCUGCCAUCGUACGCCUUGGAGGAGAAAGGCUUGCCUCACAGUGUAGGCAAGUGGGAUGCUAAACUUGCCACCACAUCACUACAGCUGCACAGGUACCUGAAGUCAGCGCUGUGAGUUCUGUGAGAACAUGAGCUGCGUCUCUUAGCCCACUGGGCCCCUGCAGUUUCAUUUGUCUCCUGUCUGGUAUGAUGGGGCUAGCAGCCUUCCUGCCUUCCCUCCACUGUCAUCCCCAACCCACUUGCCCACAGGACUGCAGAUUUAUUUUUCUUAGCCAUGGCUUUCCUGGACUUCCCAGCGUGGACUUCCUUAAUCUAUCAGGAUUUUCUUCUGUGGUCUUUCUGGAACUAUUUGCUGAUUUUUCCCUUCUAGUUCCCACUAGGAGCCCUCCCAUCUCAUCACAUCAAACUCACUUUUCUCUUUCACACCCCUUCCCUUCUGCCUACUCCUCCAGUAUACGUCUGUGCAUGUUUCUGCCUUUGAUAAUUCCCCUUCAGGUUUACCCUGUAUCUCUCUUCUCAGGUUUUUCCGGUACAGAUUCUCCUCUCUGUAAACACAACAGUGAAUUUCAAGGCCAGUUACUUAA
Long non-coding RNA from Herpailurus yagouaroundi (jaguarundi), 2078 nucleotides. RefSeq lists it as uncharacterized. The record is from RefSeq and is a predicted model, not a curated record. NCBI's taxonomy places the organism in Eukaryota, Metazoa, Chordata, Mammalia, Carnivora, Felidae. The transcript has 2 exons.